UGGGGAAUCUUGGACAAUGGGCGCAAGCCUGAUCCAGCCAUGCCGCGUGGAUGAUGAAGGCCUUAGGGUUGUAAAAUCCUUUCGCCGAGGACGAUAAUGACGGUACUCGGAGAAGAAGCUCCGGCUAACUUCGUGCCAGCAGCCGCGGUAAUACGAAGGGGGCUAGCGUUGUUCGGAUUUACUGGGCGUAAAGCGCGUGUAGGCGGGUCGUUAAGUUGGGGGUGAAAUCCCGAGGCUCAACCUCGGAACUGCCUUCAAAACUGGCGACCUGGACCUAAGUAGAGGCAAGUGGAAUUGCGAGUGUAGAGGUGAAAUUCGUAGAUAUUCGCAGGAACACCAGUGGCGAAGGCGACUUGCUGGACUUAUGGUGACGCUGAGACGCGAAAGCGUGGGGAGCAAACAGGAUUAGAUACCCGCGUAGUCCCUGAGCGGGCUGGCAAGGCGCAU
RNAcentral lists this ribosomal RNA (447 nucleotides) under uncultured bacterium. RNAcentral describes it as "bacterial SSU rRNA". It matches the Rfam family "Bacterial small subunit ribosomal RNA", at positions 355 to 825 of the family's 1533-position model. The record is from RNAcentral.